RNAcentral lists this transfer RNA (73 nucleotides) under Yersinia enterocolitica (type O:5,27) str. YE149/02. Its description in RNAcentral is "transfer RNA-Lys". The stretch from base 22 to 73 matches the Rfam family "tRNA", at positions 1 to 50 of the family's 71-position model. Rfam says of the family: Transfer RNA (tRNA) molecules are approximately 80 nucleotides in length. Their secondary structure includes four short double-helical elements and three loops (D, anti-codon, and T loops). Further hydrogen bonds mediate the characteristic L-shaped molecular structure. tRNAs have two regions of fundamental functional importance: the anti-codon, which is responsible for specific mRNA codon recognition, and the 3' end, to which the tRNAs corresponding amino acid is attached (by aminoacyl-tRNA synthetases). tRNAs cope with the degeneracy of the genetic code in two manners: having more than one tRNA (with a specific anti-codon) for a particular amino acid; and 'wobble' base-pairing, i.e. permitting non-standard base-pairing at the 3rd anti-codon position. The record is from RNAcentral. Lineage: Bacteria; Pseudomonadati; Pseudomonadota; Gammaproteobacteria; Enterobacterales; Yersiniaceae.
CGUCGAGUAAACUUACAUAAUGGGUCGUUAGCUCAGUUGGUAGAGCAGUUGACUUUUAAUCAAUUGGUCGCAG